AGAUAAGACAGCUGAAUGAUAGUCGGGCUGAAGACUCUACUUGACUAGCUGAGAGGAGGUGCAUGGCCGUCGUCAGUCGUACUGUGAAGCAUCCUGUUAAGUCAGGCAACGAGCGAGACCCACGCCAACAGUUGCCAGCUCGUCCUCCGGGAUGGUGGGGACACUGUUGGGACCGCCUCUGCUAAAGAGGAGGAAGGAAUGGGCAACGGUAGGUCAGCAUGCCCCGAAUUAUCUGGGCUACACGCGGGCUACAAUGGGUGGGACAAUGGGUAUCGACACCGAAAGGUGAAGGCAAUCUCCUAAACCCAUCCGUAGUUCGGAUUGUGGGCUGCAACUCGCCCACAUGAAGCUGGAAUCUGUAGUAAUCGUGUCUCAAAAUGGCACGGUGAAUAUGUCCCUGCUCCUU
RNAcentral lists this ribosomal RNA (406 nucleotides) under uncultured Methanomicrobiales archaeon. Its description in RNAcentral is "bacterial SSU rRNA". It matches the Rfam family "Archaeal small subunit ribosomal RNA", at positions 932 to 1338 of the family's 1478-position model. The record is from RNAcentral. Lineage: Archaea; Methanobacteriati; Methanobacteriota; Methanomicrobia; Methanomicrobiales.